This is an RNA transcript of Calidris pugnax (ruff), 3548 nucleotides long. It is a transcript of the gene named fatty aldehyde dehydrogenase-like, with no coding region annotated. The transcript is spliced from 12 exons. NCBI's taxonomy places the organism in Eukaryota, Metazoa, Chordata, Aves, Charadriiformes, Scolopacidae. The record is from RefSeq and is a predicted model, not a curated record.
AGGGUUAAAACCGAGGGGCCGAGCUCCCGGUGGCAUUUGCCCUCCUCCGAUAAGGAGCCCCGAGCCGGGACUUUGUUCCCCCCUCCCUCCCCGAGCUGUCACCCGCCGCGGCUCUCUGCCACCGUUUCACAACCCGACCGGGCUCCGCCAGACCCAGGGCAGCUCCCGGGGGGAACCCACGGCGGGACCGGCAGCCCCUUCCAGCCGGCGGCGGGGGAGGAGGAGAAGGCGCCAUUCCCGACGGCGGGAAUCACGCGCUGAGCAGCCAUGGAGAAGAUGCAGCAGGUCGUUGGGCGGGCGAGAGCCGCCUUCAACUCGGGCCGUUGCCGCUCGCUGGAGUUCCGGCUGCAGCAGCUGAAGGCCCUGGAGCGGAUGGUGCAGGAGAAGGAGAAGGAGAUCCUGGCAGCCCUCAAGGCGGAUCUGCACAAGAGUGGGCACAAUGCAUAUAGCCACGAAAUCCUGGGCGUGCUGGGGGAGCUGGCCCUGACCAUGGACAAGCUGCCGUCCUGGGCAGCCCCACGGCCUGUGAAGAAGAACCUACUGACGAUGCGGGACGAGGCCUACAUCUACCCCGAGCCACUGGGGGUGGUGCUGAUCAUCGGGGCCUGGAACUACCCCUUUGUCCUGGUCAUGCAGCCUUUGAUCGGGGCCAUUGCAGCAGGCAAUGCCGUGGUGGUGAAGCCAUCAGAGAUCAGCGAGAACACGGCUCAGCUGGUGGCUGAUCUCCUCCCCCAGUACCUUGACCGGGAGCUGUACCCCGUGGUCACUGGAGGAGUACCCGAGACAACAGAGCUGCUGACCCAGAGGUUUGAUCACAUCCUCUACACCGGCAACUCCGCAGUGGGCAAAAUCGUGAUGGCAGCAGCUGCCAAGCACCUGACGCCCGUCACCCUGGAGCUGGGUGGGAAGAGCCCCUGCUACAUCGACAAGGACUGUGACCUGGCCGUCGCCUGCAGGAGGAUAACAUGGGGGAAGUACAUGAACUGUGGGCAAACCUGCAUCGCCCCAGACUACAUCCUCUGCGACCCGUCCAUCCAGAGCAAAGUGGUGGAGAACAUCAAGGCAACUCUGCAGGAAUUCUAUGGGGAAGAUGUGAAGUCAUCUCCAGAUUACGAAAGGAUCAUCAACAAGCGUCACUUCAAGAGGAUCAUGGGCCUGCUGGAAGGGCAGAAUAUCGCUUACGGAGGACAGACUGAUGAGGCCUCCUGCUUCAUAGCACCGACUAUCCUCACCGACGUUUCUCCGGAGUCAAAGGUGAUGGAGGAGGAAAUCUUUGGGCCAGUGCUCCCCAUUCUGCCCGUGAAGAACGUGGAUGAAGCCAUUGAGUUCAUCAACCGUCGUGAGAAGCCCCUUGCCCUCUAUGUCUUCUCAAACAACAAGAAGUUAAUCAAAAGAGUAAUCUCUCAGACCUCCAGUGGGGGUGUUACUGGAAAUGAUGUCAUCAUGCAUUUCUUCCUCUCAACCUUGCCCUUUGGUGGUGUGGGUAACAGCGGGAUGGGCGCCUACCACGGCAAGCACAGCUUUGAGACCUUCUCCCACCGCCGCGCCUGCUUGAUCAAGGACCUGAAGAUGGAGGUUGUGAACAAACUCCGGUACCCACCUGGCAGCCAGAAGAAGUUGGAUUGGGCCAAGUUCUUCAUCCUGAAGCGGUCUAGGAAGGGCCGUGUGUGACUGGCCAUCUUGGCCCUGCUGGGGAUUGUGGCAGCUGUGGUGAUAAAGAAUCACCAGUCUGUGCUGAAGAGAAAAGCCCUCUUGAUUGUGCUGGCUGUUCAGAGGCUGGGCUGGCUCAGUGAGUGGUAAGGAGGAGCAGGUCUCAGAGCACUCCUGUGGCUGUCACAGUGAGAUGGUUUACUACUGAAGAGAGGAGAAGGCGCCAUGUGCAAGUCACACUCUGAGAGCUCACUUUGUGUCCGUUUCCUUAAGCUGAGAAGUCUUUUUUUUUUUUCUUUUUUUUUUUCCUUUUCUACUGGGUUAUUUCAGUGAGCUGUCACACACACAGAGCAGCCUUAGAGAGGCACUAACCAAGAGAAGGCUUGGACUCCUGUUUACUAAAAAGCCGUGCUGAAAACAGAGGGACCAGUGGGUACAAGCUCUCAAAAGGAGGACUGCAGAGCAAGAAAUACCAGUCCCUACCUCCACCCCAUGCCCUGCAGAGCACUGCUUCCACGGAAACACGCACACUGUGUCUUGCACCAGACCUCUUACCUUCCUCCAGUGACAAACAGGAGCUGAAAUUUCAGCUGCGAUUAGGUUUUUGUGUUUUCCCUGCUGUUUUUGGGAUGGUCUGUCUUCUGUUGUGCUCCAAAACAUCACCCUCUUGGUGACAAGUCUGAGGCUGUGCUGGCUGAUGGUUUUUUGCCGACAGGGAUGGUGAUGAAUAAACCCAGUGAGGUCCCUUUGUGUUAAAUUGAGGUAAAAUAUUCGUGGAUCCCUAUGAGCCAGAAUCGUCCACAGCUGGUCAGGAGGUGCAGGCUGACUCCAUUUUUGGGGGCUCUGGGUUUCAUCAUGUGCCCAUAAGAAUUAUUUGGCAGUUAGAAAAUGACAAAGGUGAUACCUGCGCCACCUGUGUUUUGCUGAUAAGGGCAUGUUGUGUUCAUACAAAGGAAGUUUCAGGCCUGUUUAGAGAAGAGGGAAUCGCAGAGUACCCUGUGGUGGGUCUGCCCAGGUGGGUGCCCAAGCCCUGCGCAGCCGCUCAACUCGCUCACCCCAGUGGGAGAGGGUAAAAGAGAAAACAUGUAGGUUGAGAUGAAGUUGGAUUGGUAAAAUGAAAUUUGGGCAUGUAAGGUAGCAAAUUAAGGAAUGAAUUCACUACUUCUCCUUGGCAGGCAGAUGUUCAGCCAUCCCCAGGAAGGCAGGGCUCCAUCACAUGUAGCAGUGACUUGGGAAGACAGAUGCUGUAACUUCCAAUGUCCCCUCACCUUCCUCUUCUUUCCCCCCAGCUUUUAUCUGUGAAGGCAAUAUCAUACGGCCUGGAAUAUCCCUGUGGUUAGCUGGGGUCACCUCUCCCAGCCGUGUCCCCUCCCUAAUUCUUGCCCCCCGCCCCCAGAGCGCUGUUUGGCACAGCCAAACCCCAGGUGUGUCACUGACACUGUUCUGCUCACAAAUCCAAAGCACUGCACCAUCCUGCUAUGAAGAAACUUAGCACCUAUGAUUAAAAUUAACUUCAUCCCAGCCAAAACCAGUACAAACCCGUUCCUGGUCCGACUCCUCCGAGAGAAAACAAUUACUGAAAAGAGUGUGUACUCCUUUGCGUUUUUGCUUCUUGGGUCUGCUAUAAUCUUGCACUGGGAGAUCAUAUGGGGCUUGUUCUAGCUUGGGGAGAGGAUGCUGGAGAAAUUUAAUGUGAAAGGACCUUAGAAAUAUUAAUGUUUAAAGAAGGUAAAUUUAAAAAGUAUUAUUAAAUGCAAUUACUCACUCUAGAGUAGAAAAUUAUAUUUACUGUGCAAUAGAUGGGAUUUCUUCAUGUCUGGUGAAAAUCCUUGUGCCUAAACCUUUUUAAUGAUAUAUUUUGCAAGUACUAAAUAAACACUGAGAAUUUCAAUAAUAAA